Molecule: ribosomal RNA, 460 nt
Filed under: uncultured bacterium
Lineage: Bacteria
Description: partial 16S ribosomal RNA
Rfam family: Bacterial small subunit ribosomal RNA
Source: RNAcentral
CCUACGUGAGGCAGCAGUGAGGAAUAUUGGUCAAUGGACGAGAGUCUGAACCAGCCAAGUAGCGUGAAGGAUGACUGCACUAUGGGUUGUAAACUUCUUUUAUAUGGGAAUAAAAUGUUCCACGUGUGGGAUUUUGUAUGUACCAUAUGAAUAAUGAUCGGCUAACUCCGUGCCAGCAGCCGCGGUAAUACGGAGGAUCCGAGCGUUAUCCGGCUUUAUUGGGUUUAAAGGGAGCGUAGGUGGAUUGUUAAGUCAGUUGUGAAAGUUUGCGGCUCAACCGUAAAAUUGCAGUUGAAACUGGCAGUCUUGAGUACAGUAGAGGUGGGCGGAAUUCGUGGUGUAGCGGUGAAAUGCUGAGAUAUCACGAAGAACUCCGAUUGCGAAGGCAGCUCACUGGACUGCAACUGACACUGAGGCUCGAAAGUGUGGGUAUCAAACAGGAUUAGAUACCCUGGUAGUC